RNAcentral lists this transfer RNA (74 nucleotides) under Phycisphaerae bacterium. RNAcentral's name for it is "tRNA-Val". It matches the Rfam family "tRNA". From Rfam's summary of the family: Transfer RNA (tRNA) molecules are approximately 80 nucleotides in length. Their secondary structure includes four short double-helical elements and three loops (D, anti-codon, and T loops). Further hydrogen bonds mediate the characteristic L-shaped molecular structure. tRNAs have two regions of fundamental functional importance: the anti-codon, which is responsible for specific mRNA codon recognition, and the 3' end, to which the tRNAs corresponding amino acid is attached (by aminoacyl-tRNA synthetases). tRNAs cope with the degeneracy of the genetic code in two manners: having more than one tRNA (with a specific anti-codon) for a particular amino acid; and 'wobble' base-pairing, i.e. permitting non-standard base-pairing at the 3rd anti-codon position. Lineage: Bacteria; Pseudomonadati; Planctomycetota; Phycisphaerae. The record is from RNAcentral. RNAcentral also lists the same sequence under 1 other name.
GGGCGUUUAGCUCAGUAGGAUAGAGCGCAUCCCUUACAAGGAUGAGGUCGUUGGUUCGAGCCCAACAACGCCCA